CCUACGGGUGGCAGCAGUAGGGAAUCUUGCGCAAUGGACGAAAGCCUGACGCAGCAACGCCGCGUGAGUGAAGAAGGUUUUCGGAUCGUAAACCUCUGUCAUCAGGGAAGAACGUGUCCUGUGCUAACUAGUAGCGACUUGACGGUACCUGACCAGAAAGCACCGGCUAACUACGUGCCAGCAGCCGCGGUAAUACGGAGGUGGCGAGCGUUAACCGGAAUUAUUGGGCGUAAAGCGAGCGCAGGCGGUAUGGUAAGUCAUGGGUGAACUCCCAGGGCUCAACCUGGGAAGUGGAUUGGAAACUGGGAAACUGGAGUGUGUGAGAGGAUAGUGGAAUUCCAGGUGUAGGGGUGAAAUCCGUAGAUAUCUGGAGGAACACCAGUGGCGAAGGCGACUAUCUGGUACAUAACUGACGCUGAGGCGCGAAAGCGUGGGUAGCAAACAGGAUUAGAUACCCCGGUAGUC
RNAcentral lists this ribosomal RNA (465 nucleotides) under uncultured bacterium. RNAcentral's name for it is "partial 16S ribosomal RNA". It matches the Rfam family "Bacterial small subunit ribosomal RNA", at positions 338 to 795 of the family's 1533-position model. The record is from RNAcentral.